Molecule: RNA transcript, 9778 nt
Organism: Mus musculus (house mouse)
Lineage: Eukaryota; Metazoa; Chordata; Mammalia; Rodentia; Muridae
Gene: Grm7
Gene name: glutamate receptor, metabotropic 7
Exons: 12
Source: RefSeq, marked validated
GAACAGGCAACCUCUCGGCUCCCGGGCCACCCACCCAUUCCUCCACCCCCCCCCCCUUACCUCAGCACGCAGCCCCUCCCUGCGUGAUGAUGCAAACCGGUGGGGAGGGCGGGCGCUGGGAAGGGUGGGGAGAGAUGGAUAGCAAGCAAGGGAGGGAGAGAGGGAGUGGGAGGAGGAGGAGGAGGAGGAGAGGGAGCCCAACGACCAUUUAAAGCGAUAGCAAUCCCUGCCCUCUCCCCAGUGCUUGGCUGUUGGAGAGCGCGAGCGGCAAGCCAGGGAGCGGGGAGCGCAAGCUGGUGCACGGGCCAGCGGAGCUACAGUGCCAGGUGCCAAAGACUGGCUGACGCCCUGGGACCCCCCACCCCUCUCCUGCUGCACCUCCUCUGUCUCCUCCACCCUCUGUGCCUACAGAAGUCCCCGGGGCUUCCCCCGAAAGGAGCUCACCUCGAGAAGCCGGGACCUGGGAGAGCCCACCAGCAUCCCCUCCAGCGCCGCCGCCGCUACCGCAGCAGCAUCCGGAGCGGCAUGGUCCAGCUGGGGAAGCUGCUCCGCGUCCUGACUUUGAUGAAGUUCCCCUGCUGCGUGCUGGAGGUGCUCCUGUGCGUGCUGGCGGCGGCGGCGCGCGGCCAGGAGAUGUACGCCCCGCACUCGAUCCGGAUCGAGGGGGACGUCACCCUUGGGGGGCUGUUCCCAGUGCACGCCAAGGGUCCCAGCGGAGUGCCCUGCGGCGACAUCAAGAGGGAGAAUGGGAUCCACAGGCUGGAAGCUAUGCUUUAUGCUCUCGACCAGAUCAACAGCGAUCCCAACCUGCUGCCCAACGUAACGUUAGGCGCGCGGAUCCUGGACACUUGUUCCAGGGACACUUAUGCGCUCGAACAGUCGCUCACUUUCGUCCAGGCGCUUAUCCAGAAGGACACCUCCGACGUGCGUUGCACCAACGGAGAGCCCCCGGUUUUCGUCAAGCCAGAGAAAGUAGUUGGAGUGAUUGGGGCUUCGGGGAGCUCCGUCUCCAUCAUGGUAGCCAACAUCUUGAGGCUUUUCCAGAUACCUCAGAUUAGUUAUGCAUCCACGGCUCCUGAACUCAGUGAUGACCGUCGCUAUGACUUCUUCUCUCGCGUGGUCCCACCUGAUUCCUUCCAAGCCCAAGCUAUGGUAGACAUUGUAAAGGCAUUGGGCUGGAAUUAUGUAUCUACUCUUGCAUCUGAAGGAAGCUAUGGAGAGAAAGGUGUGGAGUCCUUCACACAAAUUUCCAAAGAAGCAGGUGGACUCUGCAUUGCCCAGUCCGUGAGAAUUCCCCAAGAACGCAAAGACAGGACCAUUGACUUUGAUAGAAUUAUCAAACAGCUCUUGGACACCCCCAACUCCAGGGCUGUCGUGAUUUUUGCCAACGAUGAGGAUAUAAAGCAGAUCCUUGCAGCAGCCAAAAGAGCUGACCAAGUAGGACAUUUUCUCUGGGUUGGGUCAGACAGCUGGGGUUCCAAAAUCAACCCACUGCAUCAGCAUGAAGAUAUUGCAGAAGGAGCCAUCACCAUCCAACCUAAGAGAGCGACUGUGGAAGGAUUUGAUGCUUACUUCACAUCCCGGACACUUGAAAACAACAGGAGAAAUGUAUGGUUUGCCGAAUACUGGGAAGAAAACUUCAACUGCAAGUUGACAAUUAGUGGAUCCAAAAAAGAAGACACGGAUCGCAAAUGCACAGGACAGGAGCGAAUUGGAAAAGACUCUAAUUAUGAGCAGGAGGGUAAAGUACAGUUUGUGAUCGAUGCUGUCUAUGCCAUGGCACAUGCCCUUCAUCACAUGAAUAAGGAUCUGUGUGCUGACUACCGGGGAGUGUGCCCAGAAAUGGAGCAAGCAGGGGGCAAGAAGUUGUUGAAGUAUAUCCGCAAUGUUAACUUCAAUGGUAGUGCUGGAACCCCAGUGAUGUUUAACAAAAAUGGUGAUGCUCCAGGACGAUAUGACAUCUUCCAGUACCAGACAACAAACACUACCAAUCCUGGUUAUCGUCUCAUUGGGCAGUGGACAGAUGAACUGCAGCUCAAUAUAGAGGACAUGCAGUGGGGCAAAGGAGUCCGGGAGAUCCCACCCUCUGUGUGCACAUUGCCAUGCAAGCCUGGGCAGAGGAAGAAGACACAGAAGGGAACCCCUUGCUGCUGGACUUGUGAGCCCUGUGAUGGAUACCAGUAUCAAUUUGAUGAGAUGACAUGUCAGCAUUGUCCCUAUGACCAGAGGCCCAAUGAGAACCGAACUGGCUGUCAGAACAUCCCAAUCAUCAAACUGGAGUGGCACUCCCCCUGGGCUGUAAUUCCUGUCUUCCUGGCAAUGUUGGGGAUCAUUGCCACCAUCUUUGUCAUGGCAACCUUCAUCCGCUACAAUGAUACACCCAUCGUCAGGGCAUCUGGGCGGGAACUCAGCUAUGUUUUAUUGACAGGCAUCUUUCUCUGCUAUAUCAUCACCUUCCUAAUGAUUGCCAAGCCAGAUGUGGCAGUGUGUUCCUUCCGACGUGUCUUCUUGGGGUUGGGUAUGUGUAUUAGUUAUGCAGCCCUUUUAACAAAAACCAAUCGGAUUUAUCGCAUAUUCGAGCAGGGCAAGAAAUCGGUGACAGCUCCCAGACUCAUAAGCCCAACAUCACAACUGGCAAUUACCUCCAGUUUAAUAUCGGUGCAACUUCUAGGUGUCUUUAUUUGGUUUGGGGUUGACCCACCCAACAUCAUCAUAGACUACGAUGAGCAUAAGACAAUGAACCCAGAACAAGCCAGGGGAGUUCUCAAAUGUGACAUCACAGACCUUCAGAUCAUUUGUUCUUUGGGAUAUAGCAUUCUUCUCAUGGUCACAUGUACUGUGUAUGCCAUCAAGACUCGGGGUGUACCAGAGAAUUUUAAUGAAGCCAAGCCCAUUGGAUUCACUAUGUACACGACUUGUAUCGUAUGGCUUGCCUUCAUCCCAAUAUUUUUUGGCACAGCGCAAUCAGCAGAAAAGCUCUACAUACAAACCACCACGCUUACAAUCUCCAUGAACCUAAGUGCAUCAGUGGCGCUGGGGAUGCUAUACAUGCCGAAAGUGUACAUCAUCAUUUUCCACCCUGAACUCAAUGUCCAGAAACGGAAGCGAAGCUUCAAGGCCGUAGUCACAGCAGCCACCAUGUCAUCGAGGCUGUCACACAAACCCAGUGACAGGCCCAAUGGUGAGGCAAAGACAGAACUUUGUGAAAAUGUAGACCCAAACAACUGUAUACCACCAGUAAGAAAGAGUGUACAAAAGUCCGUAACUUGGUACACUAUCCCACCAACAGUAUAGCUUUUGACUGCUUUCCAAAAGGAAAGUUUUAUGGCUGGGAUUAAUAAUCUGUCAGUCAUAGUUGUCUGAGAAAUCAAACCAACUUUAGUGCUCUCUGAAACUAGAGAAGGGGUCAAAGAAAGAUAACAAAGGUCUAAAUAAAGUUCCAAAAUUAGCCAGAGGGUUUGCCAAUCAAUAUCAUGGUAUUGAAAACAAUGGAUUAUGUAACUAUAUCAAAUGGUCUUAUGAAUGAACUUUCUCAAAGCAUCAAUUGACUGAUGACUCAUGCUCAUAUAUUACUUUGUUACCCCAUUAGUCAACACAUGCUUGAAGAGACUAUUCUUAGUGGUGCUACUAGCUUUAUCAUUUCUGAAUAUCAGCUAAGCAAAUGGAAUCACAGUAAAAAACAACUCUCCUUUCAAGCAGUUUUGUUAAAUGGAUUCAGGGUCUUCUACAUGGUAGGAAAAAUAAAGAGUAGAGUUCAUGGAGAGGGAUGUGAAAAGGUAGGAGAAAUGCCUCCACAGCUAAGAAUGUGCAGUGCUCUUAUACAAGACUUGAGUUCAAUUUCCAGCAUUUAGAUUGAUUGGAAGGCUUACAACUACUGCCAACUUUACUCUAAGAAUCUGAUGCUCUCUUCCGGCCCCCAUGAAUAUCAGAACUUGCAUGUACAUAAAUACACACACACACUCACAGUUAAAUAUAAAAUAAGUUUUAAAAUAGGUAGUGGCAUAUACCCAGAAGAAGUUCCAACUAGUAAUGAGAACACAUGCUCCACUAUGUUCAUAGCAGCCUUAUUUAUAAUAGCCAGAAGCUGGGAGGAACCCAGAUGUCUCUCAACAGAAGAAUGGAUACAGAAAAUGUGGUGCAUUUACACAAUGGAGUAAUACUCAGCUAUUAAAAACAAUGGAUUUAUGAAAUUCUUGGACAAGUGGAUGUAUCUGGAGGAUAUCAUCCUUAGUGAGGUAACCCAAUCACAAAAGAAGUCAUUAGAUAUGCACUCACUGAUAAGUGGAUAUUAGCCCAGAAACAUAGAACACCCAAGAUACAAUUUGCAAAACACAAGAAAAUCAAGAAGAGGGAAGACCAAUGGGUGGAUACUUCAUUCCUCCUUAGAAUAGGGAACACAAUAUCCAUGAAAGGAGUUACAGAGACCAAGUUUGGAGCUAAGACAAAAGGAUGGACUAUCCAGAGACUACCCCACCUGGAGAUCCAUCCCAUAAUUAGCCACUAAACCCAGACACUAUUGAAUAUGCUAGAAAGAUUUUGCUGAAGGGACCCUGUUAUACCUGUCUCGUAUGAGGCUAGCCAGUGCCUGGCAAAUACAGAAGUGGAUGCUCACAGGCAUCUAUAAGAUGGAACACAGGGACCCCAAUGGAGAAGAUAGAUAAAGCACCCAAGAAACUGAAGGGGUCUGCAACCCUAUAGGUGGAACAACAAUAUGAACUAACCAGUAACCUCAGAGCUCAUAUCUCUAGCUGCAUAUGUAGCAGAAGAUGGCCUAGUCGGCCAUCACUGAGAAGAGAGGUCCCUUGGUAUUGCAAACUUUAUGUGCUUCAGUACAGGGGAACGCCAGGGCCAAGAAGCAGGAGUGGGUGGAUAGGGGAGCAAGGCGGAGGGAGUGUAUAGGGAACAUUCAGGAUAGCAUUUGAAAUGUAUAUAAAGACAAUAUCUAAUAAAAAAAGAAAAAAAAAGAUUUCCUUCUGAUUGUAUCUAAACACAACAGCUGGAAGGCCUAUCUUUAGAGCUCUAGGAAAGUGAGACCCUGUCAUGGAAAGUAACAUUUUGUUUAGCAAUAUUUAGCUACUUUCUCUUUGUGUGUCUCUAUCAUGGGACUUCUGUAAGAUCACUGCCUAACUCCUACAAUGUGAUUUUUUUAAAUGAUAUUCUGCAUGCAAAUAGUAUCUUGGCCUUAAACAUUCUACUUAGUACUCAAAGACAGGAUACAAUUAAUUUCAGAGAGUAAUUACAUUUCUUGUUGAUUUUAGAUGGAUAUAACAUCUCAGUCAUUCAUUUCAGAUGUAUUGUCUCCAUAGUUAUUUCCUUUUCCCGUAUCCACAUGAACUGUCCUAGAUUUUAAAUAGGGCAUUCUUCCCUAUAGUGAAUAUAUAACUGUACCCCAGUGAGAUUUCAAGUCUCUGCAGUACAAGUGCUUGUCAAAACACUGCAGCGCAGCUCCUCAUUUAACAGUUCUUUUACAGGAGACUUCCUGAAAAUAAAUGAGAAAGAAUUAUCCCCAGGAAAAAAAAAAGAUAGAUUAAAUAUCCAUCUACUAAAAAUUCUUCUUAGCUCCAUUCUCAGUUGGUGUCUUUUGGUUUAAAGGAAGAAAUAGGAAACUGUGAGGUUUACCUUUCAGUUAAAAAGUACUGCUAGGGCUAUGCAUUUUGGCUCAGCAGGUAAGGGAGCUUGCGGCCAAGACUGAUGACCUCCAUUACACCCUGAGAUCUACCUGGUAGGAGAACAGAGUCUCUGAGGUGGUCCUGUGACCUAUACACACACACACACACACACACACACACACACACACACACAAAUGUAAUACAAAUUACAAAUUUAGAAACAAAUUCUGCUAGGAAAAGAUGCUUAGCAACAAAACCAACCUUUGUUCUUGGCUUAUUUGUCUUCCCAGACUCUGAUUAGUGAGGUUCUGAGAGUGUGUGCAGAGAGCUCAUAUCACAGGAUUCGGAAUGUAGACUGGUCUUUCUUUUUUUCCAUGCCACAAUCAGGGCACAUUUGUUCGCUCAUUACUGUUUUUUUCCCCCAUGUUUUUCUUUGAUGGUCCAACAGACACUAGAAAUAUUUGUACUUGAUUUUCUUUUCUGAUCAGUUAAUAUAUAUAUAUUUCCUUCAAAAAAUAAUUGGGAAUUGACAGUGGUCCAAGCCGAAGGUUUUAAAAGACUACGCACCAACUGUUCACCUUAACAAUGAAAGCUACCUACAUCUGGAGGUCAACCAGGGGAAUGGCUCAGGACUCCAUGUUUGAAUUCAUUUCUGUGUGGUGGUAUUCAGGGAGAUGAAAUGGUAAAGAGAAACCACAGGUGUAAGUGUGACUUUUGUGCUAAUUUGCCUUUAAAACCUCACUUCAGCCACUUUCUCCCAACAAAGACAGAUCAUAUGAAGCAAGUCUGUCUGGCCUUUGCUUCUAAGAGACGGAAGGAAACAAAGUCAGACAGAAAGAAAAAUAACAUGGCUAGAAAAUGUGUUUUAUAUAAGGGUUCUGUUUUAAAAGUGUCCUCUCUGGCAGAUGCCCAGCCUGAUGUCAGCAAACUCAACAUGGCUUCCUCUUUUCAUUUAUGUGUUUAUAAAUGUUAUAACUGUGAAAAAUGCUAUCAGUCUAACACCAGUUAUUUUAAAAUCUAGUUAAAGAAGGAAGGAAGGAAGGAAAAAGAGACUGAUCCUAUACUAUACCCAGGCCAGGAAAUAUGUUUUUUCUGUAUCAUAAUAUCAUACUAAGAUGCUGGUGUGAUUACAAAGCAUUAGGCUCAUCCCUGCCUUACAUAUAUGGGUAUAAUAACCUUGACUUACAUAUAUGCACAGUUUUGUUCUUCAGAGCAUGUAUUCAAGUUUUAAUAGUAUUAAGAUCACAAUUUAUGGAACUGUAUUUUUUACAAACAUUUUUUUUAUUAUUAGGUAUUUUCCUCAUUUACAUUUUCAAUGCUAUCCCAAAGGUCCCCCAUACCCACCCCCACCCCAAUCCCCUACUGUAUUUUUUAAGUUAAUAAGGCCUGGGAAGAUGGCUCAGUUGGUAAAUCACUAGCUGUCCAAGCAUAAACUUUGGAUCACUAGUACUUGAGCAAAUUCCUGAUGAUAUAACAGCCCACCUACAGUCUUAGCUGUUGGGAGGGGAAAUAUGGGAUCCUCAAAGCAAGCUGGCUAACAAGCUCUGGGUACAGCCAAAGACCCUGCCUCAGUAAAGAAACAAACAAACAAAACUGAUCAAGAAGGACAAUGGCUAUAAAACUCUGACUUCCACAUGUGGGUGCCCAAACAUGCACACUCACACACUUACUUGCACACCUGUAAAUUCAUGGGUAUGACACAUAUAUACACAUGUGCCAAAUAAGGACAUCUUAAUAAUAAUUUGAUCCUUAUCAUUAAUAUGUGGGAGUUCUUUAGUACUUGAAGCUUUUAAGAACUUUGCCAUACAAAGCUUUACAUCCAAUUGAGAUUCUUUCUCUUUAACAUUCAAUGUGGUACCCUAGUUUAAACAGGAGACCACUUCAAUUUGAAAUCUACUUUAGAACACUCUCUGAGUAUAACACAGCAAAGAAUACAAGGCUACCCCACUGUUGACACAGAAUCACCUCAGAAAUAAAUGCAGCUAUAAAUCUCAUCAGGACCGAUCUCACAGUACAUGCUCAGAAACCAGUUAAUACCUGCCCCCUUAGCUCUGCAGCUCACAUCCCACUUAAACAAUGAGAUGAAAGCACACAUAGCCAGUACUCUUACUAGAAGAGUUAUACACAGCAUGCCAUUACUUCAUGGAAACUGCAUCACAGGGUACAUUCAACCACUGCCCUGCUCUGUCUCAUCAAGAUAUAUGAACCCAGGGGACUUCUGUUAAGGGGGGACAAUCAAAUGAAUGCCUCAGAAGCUUUAGCCAGAGCCAGCCGUGAGGUGACAUGAAUGAGAGACAGAAAUGGACAAGGCCUUCAGGGAGUUCACACAUGAUGGAGAAUGCUAAGGUAAGCAAUUUCAAUUCCAGAUGAUGUGGGCUUUUAUUGCAGGAAUAUUGGUUGCCCACCUAAUGGUGGAGAGCGCCAUGUUCCAUCCUGUAUGCAAUGUGGCACACACUCUUGAAACAGGGAGGAUUCUGCACAAAUAAUUUGGAGGAUAAAAAUAGUGGGGCAUGUUUAGAGACUAGAAAUAGUUCUGCAGUGCUGCUCUAUCACAGUUAUGGAUAUGUGGUCUUAGAGAACGGCAUCCACGAUGCAGCCUGAGUGACUUUGUGAGGGCUGGAGUUUCCUUUAUCUCUGUACUUUUGUAUAGUAAACUGGUGAAUUCCAGGCUUUCAGCCUUACCUAGAACCUGUUAAGUAUACAGCUAAGGGGUAGACAGGUAAAAGAAUGAAUGAGAAAAUGUUCAGUCUGUAAACUCAGAAGGUGGGAUUGUACCCUUCAAGACAGAAAGAGAGAGAGAGAGAGAGAGAGAGAGAGAGAGAGAGAGAGAGAGAGAGAGAGAGAGAGAGAGAGAGAAAGCCCUCAAGGUCAAUAGAAUGAAGAGGCUACUUUUAUGUUGUGGUCAGGUUUCAAAUUUUUGUUCUGGUUUAAUGUGAAAAUCCUGAAAUUGAUAUCAGUACUGUGUCUGCAUUUAUGAAGUUAACCUUUCUUUUGAUGCACUAAGCCAACAUACAAAAUCAACAAAGUUUGUGUCUAUCUCUCUCCUCUGUGACUAAAAAUUACUACACCAUUUAUCAUUCCAGUCACAUAUGAACUUGGCAGUUCCCACUGGCGGUGCGUUUGAGAUGGCAAUAUGGCUCAGUGGUUAACAGCAAUCACUUCUCUGGCAGAGGACAUGGGUUCACUUCCUAGAACCCACAUGGUAACUCACAACCACAUAUAUCUUCUGGCAUAGUGGGCCCAAUACCCAUUUCUAGUCACUGUGGACUGUCACAUGCAUACUGCACACUCAGACUUACUCAGGCUCACACACAUAUAUCAAGUUUAAAAUGUAAUGUUUUUAGAGUUUUCUUUGGUGGAUAACUGGUAGCUUUCUAAUCACCUGAGUGGGUUUUUUUUUUUCCAGAGACAGUCAUUGAAGACAAGUUUUGUCUUUUAGAACCAAAUGUCAUUUUAAUUUAAAAAGAAAAAUGUGUGUUCUUAGCCAAGGUCAGCUUAUUUCUUAAAAUUCUCUCCUAUCCAAGUGCUAUGAGGAAGGCUCAUCUCAAAAUUCAACUGAUGAUUCUUUUCUGGUUUCUAACUACUAAAGAUGUACCUCACCUUUGCAGAUUCUCUCUCUCUCUCUCUCUCUUUCUCUCUCUCUCUCUCUCUCUCUCUCUCUCUCUCUCUCUCUCUCUCUCUCUCCCUCUCUCUCUCUCUCUCUCUGAACUGAAGCUUGGACACAUGUUAAGUUAACUUUCUCUUGGAAUCACAGGUAAUCAUCAUUUCCUUUAUGAUCUACAUGAAUAUUCACAUAAUUUAUUUUGCCUUUUCAAAUUGAAGAUUGGAUUUGAAUCCCUUUUUUUCUAUCUGUCCUUUCUCAGAGCAUCUCCAAGGUCUCAACUUGUACAAGGAGGGUGCUAGAGCAAUUUCCCACCCACUGGUGUUCUUGCUUAGCUGACCCAAACCCUUAGAUGAUUUUAAUGUGAACAACUACUUCACAUCGGAACGAGUGAAGGAUACUGCAACUUGCUCACUCCCCUAUUGGCUGUUUUGUCUGCAUCUUCUUUCUGUAACACUCCCAUAAUAAGUUUGUGUCAAACAAUCCUCUUGCAUCUGAUUUUUGUCUGGAAAAAAACCUGUGAGAUUUUCAGAUGGAAAUAUCAAUAAACCACAUGACCUGUCUUCAA